RNAcentral lists this ribosomal RNA (312 nucleotides) under uncultured bacterium. RNAcentral's name for it is "bacterial SSU rRNA". It matches the Rfam family "Bacterial small subunit ribosomal RNA", at positions 28 to 334 of the family's 1533-position model. The record is from RNAcentral.
GGUAAACGCUGACAGAAUGCUUAACACAUGCAAGUCGACGAUGGGAAGCUAAGCCUAGCUUAGAAGAAGUCAUGGCGGACGGGUGAGUAACGUGUAAAGAACUUGCCCUCUAGACUGGGAUAACAGAUAGAAAUGUCUGAUAAUACCGGAUAUUAUUGUUACAUGGCAUCAUGUAGGAAUGAAAGGAUAAGAUUGCUAGAGGAGAGCUUUGCAUCCUAUUAGCUAGUUGGUAAGGUAGCGGCUUACCAAGCCUUCGAUCAGUAGGGGUUCUGAGAGGAAGGUCCCCCACAUUGGAACUGAGACACGGCCCUU